Molecule: ribosomal RNA, 253 nt
Filed under: uncultured bacterium
Lineage: Bacteria
Description: partial 16S ribosomal RNA
Rfam family: Bacterial small subunit ribosomal RNA
Source: RNAcentral
UACGUAGGGGGCAAGCGUUGUCCGGAAUUAUUGUGCGUAAAGAGCGCGUAGGCGGUCCGAUAAGUCGGCUGUGAAAGUCCAGGGCUCAACCCUGGAAAGCCGGCCGAUACUGUCGGACUAGAGUCCGGAAGAGGCAAGUGGAAUUCCCGGUGUAGCGGUGAAAUGCGCAGAUAUCAGGAGGAACACCGAUGGCGAAGGCAGGUCUCUGGGCCGCUACUGACGCUGAGAAGCGAAAGCAUGGGGAGCGAACAGG